Molecule: ribosomal RNA, 305 nt
Filed under: uncultured bacterium
Lineage: Bacteria
Description: bacterial SSU rRNA
Rfam family: Bacterial small subunit ribosomal RNA
Source: RNAcentral
UUACCCUACGGGGCGCAGCAGUAGGGAAUCUUCCACAAUGGACGAAAGUCUGAUGGAGCGACGCCGCGUGAGUGAAGAAGUAAUUCGUUACGUAAAGCUCUAUCAGCAGGGAAGAAAAUGACGGUACCUGAGUAAGAAGCCCCGGCUAACUACGUGCCAGCAGCCGCGGUAAUACGUAGGGGGCAAGCGUUAUCCGGAUUUACUGGGUGUAAAGGGAGCGUAGACGGUGCGCCAAGUCUGGAGUGAAAUGCCGCAGCUUAACUGCGGAACUGCUUUGGAAACUGGCGAACUAGAGUGCGGGAGGG